This 1247-nucleotide ribosomal RNA is filed under the name uncultured Gallionella sp. RNAcentral's name for it is "bacterial SSU rRNA". It matches the Rfam family "Bacterial small subunit ribosomal RNA", at positions 96 to 1343 of the family's 1533-position model. Lineage: Bacteria; Pseudomonadati; Pseudomonadota; Betaproteobacteria; Nitrosomonadales; Gallionellaceae. The record is from RNAcentral.
UGGCGAACGGGUGAGUAAUAUAUCGGAACAUAUCCGGAAGUGGGGGAUAACGUAGCGAAAGUUACGCUAAUACCGCAUAUGCCCUGAGGGGGAAAGGGGGGGAUCGCAAGACCUCUGUGCUUCGGAGUGGCCGAUAUCGGAUUAGCUAGUUGGUGAGGUAAAGGCUCACCAAGGCGACGAUCCGUAGCUGGUCUGAGAGGACCGACCAGCCACAUGGGACUGAGACACGGCCCAGACUCCUACGGGAGCAGCAGUGGGGAAUUUUGGACAAUGGGCGCAAGCCUGAUUCCAGCCAUGCCGCGUGAGUGAAGAAGGCCUUCGGGUUGUAAAGCUCUUUCAGCCGGAAAGAAAUCGCACUGGUUAAUACCUUGUGUGGAUGACGGUACCGGAAGAAGAAGCACCGGCUAACUACGUGCCAGNNNCCGCGGUAAUACGUAGGGUGCGAGCGUUAAUCGGAAUUACUGGGCGUAAAGCGUGCGCAGGCGGUUUGUAAGACAGACGUGAAAUCCCCGGGCUUAACCUGGGAACUGCGUUUGUGACUGCAAGACUAGAGUGUAGCAGAGGGGGGUAGAAUUCCACGUGUAGCAGUGAAAUGCGUAGAUAUGUGGAGGAAUACCAAUGGCGAAGGCAGCCCCUGGGUUAACACUGACGCUCAUGCACGAAAGGUGGGGAGCAAACAGGAAUAGAUACCCUGGUAAGUCCACGCCCUAAACGAUGUCAACUAGGUGUUGGGGAAGGAGACUUCUUUAGUACCGCAACUAACGCGUGAAGUUGACCGCCUGGGGAGUACGGUCGCAAGAUUAAACUCAAAGGAAUUGACGGGACCCGCACAAGCGGUGGAUUAUGUGGAUUAAUUCGAUGCAACGCGAAAAACCUUACCNACCCUUGACAUGUCAGGAAGAUUCCAGAGAUGGGAUUGUGCCCGAAAGGGAACCUGAACACAGGUGCUGCAUGGCUGUCGUCAGCUCGUGUCGUGAGAUGUUGGGUUAAGUCCCGCAACGAGCGCAACCCUUGUCAUUAAUUGCCAUCAUUCAGUUGGGCACUUUAAUGAGACUGCCGGUGAUAAACCGGAGGAAGGUGGGGAUGACGUCAAGUCCUCAUGGCCCUUAUUGGGUAGGGCUUCACACGUAAUACNNUGGUCGGUACAGAGGGUUGCCAACCCGCGAGGGAGCCAAUCCCAGAAAGCCGAUCGUAGUCCGGAUUGUAGUCUGCAACUCGACUACAUGAAGUCGGAAUCGCUAGUAAUC